RNAcentral lists this ribosomal RNA (722 nucleotides) under Limnebius aluta. Its description in RNAcentral is "SSU rRNA". It matches the Rfam family "Eukaryotic small subunit ribosomal RNA", at positions 73 to 749 of the family's 1831-position model. Lineage: Eukaryota; Metazoa; Arthropoda; Insecta; Coleoptera; Hydraenidae. The record is from RNAcentral.
AAAUUAAGGUGAAACCGCGAAAGGCUCAUUAAAUCAGUUAUGGUUCCUUAGAUCGUACCCACACUUACUUGGAUAACUGUGGUAAUUCUAGAGCUAAUACAUGCAAAUAGAGCUCCGACCGGAGACGGAAGGAGCGCUUUUAUUAGAUCAAAACCAAUCGGUGGCGGUUCGCCGUCACCGUACUCCUUGGUGACUCUGAAUAACUUGUUGCUGAUCGCACGGUCUCGAACCGGCGACGCAUCUUUCAAAUGUCUGCCUUAUCAACUGUCGAUGGUAGGUUCUGCGCCUACCAUGGUUGUAACGGGUAACGGGGAAUCAGGGUUCGAUUCCGGAGAGGGAGCCUGAGAAACGGCUACCACAUCCAAGGAAGGCAGCAGGCGCGCAAAUUACCCACUCCCGGCACGGGGAGGUAGUGACGAAAAAUAACGAUACGGGACUCAUCCGAGGCCCCGUAAUCGGAAUGAGUACACUCUAAACCCUUUAACGAGGAUCAAUUGGAGGGCCAGUCUGGUGCCAGCAGCCGCGGUAAUUCCAGCUCCAAUAGCGUAUAUUAAAGUUGUUGCGGUUAAAAAGCUCGUAGUCGAAUCUGUGUCUCGCGCCGCCGGUUCAUCGCUCGCGGUGUUUAACUGGCGUGCUCGCGGGACGUCCUGCCGGUGGGCCUACCUCCUUGGAGCGGCCCCACUACAAAUCCCGUUGCGGUGCUCUUCACCGAGUGUCGCAGC